UGCAAAAAACACUCGCUAAAGCUUGUGUCUUUUGUAACUUUUAAAAAAUAACUUACUCGUGUGAAAUAAAUUCCAUAUUCAACAACCACUCGUCGUGUAACCUCUAUAUAUACAAUGGCAGCUUGGUUGCUGUGCCAUUUCAUAACAAACAGAAAUGUAUUUUCAAGGUUCUGCCAGCGAGUAGAUGUACAAGCUUCCUUGUAAACACGUAUAAGUAUCGGAUUCCUGUUUUACUGAAGUUGUGAGAAUCCCUCACUUGUGUGUUAGAAUGUUGAUUUCCACUCAACAGUAGUAAGAAGAUCUUGCUGUGAGUGAGAGAAUGUCCAUUUUCAUUACAUUACUGCAAUGUGCCAUAUAUAGGGUAAUACAUAAACAAACCAGAACCUCUUCCAUUUUUCCGGUCAUGUAUAUAAAUAUCCAUUAACUGCAUGGUACCUCCAUAUCACUUGGUAAGCAAAAUAAUUUACUAUUUCUGUCCUCAGCUGGUAUUCAUUGUCUUUGUAGAUAGCUGUGUAUCCCUUAUAAUCAGAGGUGUAGUUGUUAGAGGAGGAGGGACCAAAUCACAAUUAUUUUGCUUAUUGAAUGAAGACAAGCUAUCCCAGCUUCAUUUUUAAGGUACAUUGGCACACAGCCACAUCAAAAGGAUAGCACCUUGUAAUCAUAUACAGUCUGUGGAGGAUUUCACUUCCAUUAAUGUAUCUUACAUGAAAAUACCUUUAAGAAAAUGUUUCUUUUUUUUCUUGUUGAUUUUUUUCCAUUUAAACGCAGCUGCAGUGGAAUUAUUCAUUGCAGUUAUUCUGUUUUAGGUUUUUAAAUAAUUAUUGGAGAUACCUAUUUGGCAUUUACAGAAGUUGGCUGUCAGUGAUGUUGGUGCUAUUGUAUAGAAAGAAUUCAAGAAAUACUCGAACCAAAAUUUAAAUGUUGCCCUCUGCAGCAUUAAGAACCCAUGUUUUUUUUUAUUGCAUGUGGUGUGAACAGACUAUCAUUUAUUCCACAUUGUAAUGGUCUGCUCAAGUCAUCAGGGUGCAAUAUCAAGGCAUGCUAACUAUCAACAGACAAAUGUUUCUAUGUCGAGAAUAUUAUGUUUUUUAUGCACUGUAUUCAAAGAUUGCAUAUCUUCUUUCAUAUAUACAAUAAUUGACGAACACCUGCAGUUUGGUACUUUUAUUAGAAUGUCUACACAAACCUUAUUGUUAAUAAUAGGGAGAAGGCUACUUUUCUAUAUGCAUAUGAGACCAUAUGUUUUCCUGUUAAUAAUUUUUAUUAGAUGAAGACAUUUUUCUGUUACCGUAUUUAUCCUAUAAUAAGGCUAGAGGCCAACACAAAUUUUGACUUGAGUAGGGGAUUAGCAUAUUAGCUUUUUCAUUGAAUUGUACAGGACCUAGAUUAGGUUAUUACCAGGCAUGUUUUUAUUCCUGUAAAAGUGUACUUGAAAUGAUGAAUAUCAUUUUCGGUAGGCUUCAUUAUAAUACAUAUUUUUGUAGUGAAAAAAUAUUUUGUACAGAUGCACCUAUGAUGUGCUAUGUUAAAGGUGUAAAUUUUCGAGUCCCAUGACCACUGAUUUGGUUCCUGCUAUUGAGAAUGGUUGGAAAUGAAAGACAGAUUUUACUGUAUUUAUGAGAUAAUUCUUAAAUAAUCCAGCAGUACUACAGCAUUUCAGUGGUGAUUCAAAUAUAAUUCUUUUCAUAGCUCUAAGGAUAUAUGACAGACAUGAAGCAUUUAUUGUGGGUCGUGUGCAAAAUUGACUUGAAGUUAUAUUUAUAGAAAUUAGGAAUAGUUUUUAGUUAUCAAGAUAGAUGUUACAAUCAAACAUUACAAUGUAAAAUGCUUGAAUUGUUUUUUUAACCAAUGUGGUCGUUCUUAAUGGGUUAGGUUCUCAACUCCUCGUUAAGUCGGGAUAGGUACUGAACUCCCUGUUAAGCUGGGUCAGGUCCUAAAUUCUGUAAAGUCAGGGUUGAUACUUAAACUCUCUGUAAAGAAGGGUUAGAUACUGAACUCUGUAAAGUGGGGGUAUACGUAGGUAUUGAAUUCCCUGUAAAGUGGGGGUAUACGUAGGUAUUGAAUUCCCUGUAAAGUCGGGGUAUACGUAGGUAUUGAAUUCCCUGUAAAGUGGGGGUAUACGUAGGUACUGAAUUCCCUGUAAAGUGGGGGUAUACGUAGGUACUGAAUUCCCUGUAAAGUGGGGGUAUACGUAGGUACUGAAUUCCCUGUAAAGUGGGGGUAUACGUAGGUACUGAAUUCCCUGUAAAGUGGGAGUAGUACUGAACUUUCUGUAGUUGGUAUAGGUCCUGAAUUUCCUGUAAAGUGGUAGUAGGUACUUAACUCCCUGUUAAAUUUGGGCAGGUACAGAACUUCCUGUAAAGUGGGGGCAGGUACUGAAUUCUCUUUAAAAUGGGGGUAGGUUCUAAACUUGCUUUAAGUUGGUAUAGGUCUUAAACUUCCUGUAAAGUGGGAGUAGGUACUGAAAUCUUAGCAAAUUGAGGGCAGGUCCUGAACUUCCUCUGAAGUGGGGAUAUGUCCUGAACUUCCUGUAAUGUAGAGGUAGGUACUGAACUCCCUGUAAUGUAGAGGUAGGUACUGAACUCUCUGUAAUAUAGAGGUAUGUACUGAACUCCCUGUAAUGUAGAGGUAGGUACUGAACUCCCUGUAAUAUAAAGGUAGGUACUGAACUCCCUGUAAUAUAAAGGUAGGCACUGAACUCCAUGUAAUAUAGAGGUAGGCACUGAACUCCAUGUAAUAUAGAGGUAGGCACUGAACUUCCUGUAAUAUAGAGGUAGGCACUGAACUCCCUGUAAUAUAGAGGUAGGUACUGAACUCCCUGUAAUAUACAGGAAGGUACUGAACUCCCUGUUAUAUAGAGGUAGGUACUGAACUCCCUGAAAUGUAGAGGUAGGUACUGAACUCCCUGUAAUAUAGAGGUAGGUACUGAACUCCAUGUAAUAUAGAGGUAGGUACUGAACUCCCUGUAAUAUAGAGGGAAGUACUGAACUCCCUGUAAUGUAGAGGAAGGCACUGAACUCCCUGUAAUAUAGAGGUAGGUACAGUACUCCCUGUAAUAUAGAAGUAGGUACUGAACUCCCUGUAAUAUAGAGGUAGGUACUGAACUCCCUGAUAUAUAGAGGUAGGUACUGAACUCCCUGUAAUAUAGAGGUAGGUACUGCGCUCCCUGUAAUGUAAAGGUAGGUACUGAACUCCCUGUAAUAAAGGGGGAAGUAUUGUACUCCUUCACAUGAAAUCUGAUAUAGAUUUUAGUCCUCAAUUCUAUGUCCACUGUAAAUCUGUUUAGGUUCACUCAAUCAUUAUAACAAUGGAUCAAUGGAGUGAUGACCUACACCACACACAAUAGUUAACACAAAAUAUAUACAGUAAACUGCAAUAAACACAAUCGUAAUUUAGCAUUUUGCAUCCAGCUGUAAGAUUACCACUAAAUAUGUUUACAGUAUUUGAAUGUUAUCAGGUCAAUGGAAGAUGAUCCAUUCAACCAUUUGUAUGGUGUGUUUGUAAACACAACAAGGUAGCUCUUUUGUAUAAUGACAUGUUCAAUCAUUAAUUCAGUUAUAUUUGAUUCGUGUUAUGAUUUCAAAGUGUUUAAUUUUAGAAAUAUGAAAUGAAAAAAAAAAUGAAUUUUUCGAUUUUAAUUAAGUGUUGAAAUAAUUUUGUUGUAAUGAAAUAUAAAGAUGUAUUGAUUUUAGUAAAUUAGAUAUUUGGAGUAAAUAAAGCAAUUUGACUGCA
Long non-coding RNA from Pecten maximus, 3732 nucleotides. RefSeq lists it as uncharacterized. Lineage: Eukaryota; Metazoa; Mollusca; Bivalvia; Pectinida; Pectinidae. The transcript has 2 exons. The record is from RefSeq and is a predicted model, not a curated record.